Molecule: ribosomal RNA, 420 nt
Filed under: uncultured bacterium
Lineage: Bacteria
Description: bacterial SSU rRNA
Rfam family: Bacterial small subunit ribosomal RNA
Source: RNAcentral
AGGGAAUAUUGGGCAAUGGACGAAAGUCUGACCCAGCCAUGCCGCGUGCAGGAUGACUGCCCUAUGGGUUGUAAACUGCUUUUCUACGGGAAGAAACACUCAUACGUGGGUGAGCUUGACGGUACCGUAGGAAUAAGGAUCGGCUAACUCCGUGCCAGCAGCCGCGGUAAUACGGAGGAUCCAAGCGUUGUCCGGAUUCAUUGGGUUUAAAGGGUGCGUAGGCGGACUACUAAGUCAGGGGUGAAAUCUUGCGGCUCAACCGUAAAAUUGCCUUUGAAACUGGUAGUCUUGAGUUCGGUCGAGGUGGAUGGAAUGUGUCAUGUAGCGGUGAAAUGCCUAGAUAUGACCCAGAACACCAAUUGCGAAGGCAGUUCACUAGACCGACACUGACGCUGAGGCACGAAAGCGUGGGGAGCGAAC